GGAUAACCUACCCUUAGGACCGGGAUAACCCUGGGAAACUGGGGAUAAUACUGGAUAGGCAAUUUUUCCUGUAAUGGUUUUUUGUUUAAAUGUUUUUUCGCCUAAGGAUGGGUCUGCGGCCGAUUAGGUAGUUGGUUAGGUAAUGGCUUACCAAGCCGUUGAUCGGUACGGGUUGUGAGAGCAAGAGCCCGGAGAUGGAACCUGAGACAAGGUUCCAGGCCCUACGGGGUGCAGCAGGCGCGAAACCUCCGCAAUGUGAGAAAUCGCGACGGGGGGAUCCCAAGUGCCAUUCUUAACGGGAUGGCUUUUCAUUAGUGUAAAGAGCUUUUGGAAUAAGAGCUGGGCAAGACCGGUGCCAGCCGCCGCGGUAACACCGGCAGCUCUAGUGGUAGCAAUUUUUAUUGGGCCUAAAGCGUCCGUAGCCGGUUUAAUAAGUCUCUGGUGAAAUCCUGCAGCUUAACUGUGGGAAUUGCUGGAGAUACUAUUAGACUUGAGACCGGGAGAGGUUAGAGGUACUCCCAGGGUAGAGGUGAAAUUCUGUAAUCCUGGGAGGACCGCCUGUUGCGAAGGCGUCUAACUGGAACGGUUCUGACGGUGAGGGACGAAAGUUAGGGGCGCGAACCGGAUUAGAUACCCGGGUAGUCCUAACUGUAAACGAUGCGGACUUGGUGUUGGGGUGGCUUUGAGCUGCUUCAGUGCCGAAGGGAAGCUGUUAAGUCCGCCGCCUGGGAAG
Molecule: ribosomal RNA, 733 nt
Filed under: uncultured archaeon
Lineage: Archaea
Description: bacterial SSU rRNA
Rfam family: Archaeal small subunit ribosomal RNA
Source: RNAcentral